AGGAGAGUGACAUUCCAAUUUUCUCCCAAUUCUAUUGGAAGGUCAAUCUUAAAUGCUGUAUAGGAGGAUCUCAUUGAGAAGAUAUCAUUUGAGCAAAGAUGUAAAGCAAGGGAGGGAAUGAGUCAGUGGCUACAUAGCGAGAGUGUCCUAGGCAGAGGAAACAGCUUCUACAAAAGCCCUGAAGCAAGAGAAUGUUUGAAGUGUUCAAGAAUAAACAGGAGAUGCAGAAUGAAUGGAAUUGAGAAGAGACUAAUAUGGGGCAGCACUGAAGACUGCUGACAGCAGCCACAUGAGUGAGCUCAGAGUGGACACAACAGCCCCUUCAGAGGCUGCAGGGAUGGCAGACAGCCUGACUGCAAUGUCGUGAAAGAUGCUGAGGCAGAACCAUGCAGCAAAGUCAUUCCCAGAUUCCUGACUCUCAGAAAAUGUCCCAGGCUUCCUGAUAUCAACAUCAUCCAAGGUGACUUUCUGGAAUAAAAGAGGAAUGUGAGAACAUCUGGUAGGGGAUGGCUCAAUAAAGAAAAAGUACAGGGAAUACCCAGCAGCCAAUCUGAAACUGCCAUUCAUAAAGAACUCAUCACAUAGGGAAAGGGCAUAUGGAGUUAUUAAGAAAAAGAACAGAAAGAGUGGGGAAGCUGCAAAAAUGAGUCCUCUGUGUUCAGCCACGUUCCCUGCCAUGUCGAUGA
This 686-nucleotide long non-coding RNA is filed under the name Homo sapiens (human). RNAcentral describes it as "HSALNT0314049". The record is from RNAcentral. Lineage: Eukaryota; Metazoa; Chordata; Mammalia; Primates; Hominidae.